UGUGAGGGUGAUCUGGCUAUAACAUCUGUCACCCCAUUGAUCGCCAGGGUUGAUUCGGCUGAUCUGGCUGGCUAGGUGGGUGUCCCUCUCCUCACUUA
Unclassified non-coding RNA from Myotis lucifugus (little brown bat), 98 nucleotides. Its record names the gene 7SK. It matches the Rfam family "7SK RNA". From Rfam's summary of the family: 7SK was discovered as an abundant small nuclear RNA in the mid-70s but a possible function has only recently been suggested. Two independent studies have found that 7SK RNA binds the CDK9/cyclin T complex (known as elongation factor P-TEFb). Lineage: Eukaryota; Metazoa; Chordata; Mammalia; Chiroptera; Vespertilionidae. The record is from Ensembl.